GGAAGCAUGCUACUUUAAUAUAAUGUAUAAUUAUAAAUUUAUUACAUGUUUCUAUAUAAACAGCUGAUUGUGGCGGAGAGCUUUCAGCCGAUUCAGGAAGCGUAGGGACAAUCACAUCACCAAAUUUUCCUAACAAUUACCCUAUCUUCUCAAACUGCACCUGGAUAAUUAGAUGCAACGACGUCGGACAGAAUGUUGUUAUCAAUUUUGAAAACUUUGCAUUGGAAGGGGUCUUUCCUGGCUGUGAGUUUGACUGGGUCUCACUCCAUAACGGUGUCUUAAUCGGAAAUGCUGAUCUUGGACUAUUUUGUGGAAGUACAAGUUAUCCUGGAAUUCUUCCGCCGGCCAACGGAACUGUCAGCAAUUGGAAUGCUGUGACUAUCAAUUUUAGGAGUGACCAUUCGAUUAACCUUUCAGGUUUCAACUUAACAUACACUUGCAGUAAGUAUUAACAUCAUAGCAUCUUUUUAUUAUCUGCCGUUAAAUAUUUAGCAUAUACUAGUAUGAAGCUAUAGAUUGAAGGUUUAACAAUAAGUAAAAUGUUUUUUUUUCAUAUUUUUUUAUUUUUGGUAAUUAAUUCUUUAAAGUAUAUAACAAAGCUUUUAUAUGUAUCUUAAACCGUAAAAUACCAAUUAUAUUUCCCAAACAUUUGAACAUUUGCCAUGCUUUUGUUUACAUUACAAUUUCAGGGAAGGUAAUCUAUAUAUUUUUCUACAACACAAAUACUUACAUAGUCUGUAGUUGAUACAUAUUAAAGAUAUGUAGGCUGUUGGAAUAAUUGUUAUGAAUUUAUUUCAAUUGGUUUUCAGAAAAUGAAUCAGAUGAUUAAACAUAUUUGUUUUUACCAGUGGUAAGAUCUGUCUGAAUUAACGCUUAUCUGCUUGACAGGGGAAUGACUCUUGACAUACAUGGCGAUGUGUAAAAACAUCAAACUGAGCUGUCUUCCACAGUAUAGUGCAGCUUAAUUCCUUCAAAUUCUAAUGCGCGAUUUAUGUAGUAGAUAAUGUAUUUGUUACAUAUUUUGCCGACUGAACUGCAUAAGUUUACAAAAGCAUUUCCGCGUUUCUCUUUAUAACAUAUUUUGAUUAAGAUAAAUGUCAUUUUCUCAAGGCGUGUCCCCUUAAAUUUAGAGCUCUGUUAUUAACUGUAAAUUGCCGAGUGUCAUUGCUGUUCCAUUGCUUUAAUAUGGAACGAGAUUGCUACUUGAUAAAGUUGAAACUAACACUACAAGCAUGAUACAUAUUUAGUUUAGUUAUCACACUUUAUUUGUUAUUUUUCAGUCAAAACCAGACGACAGAGAUGACAACAAUAUCCAGAUGACAACAACAUAGAAUUUAGCUGAAUUUGUGUAAGCUUCUAAAGCUUAAAAUUACUUAAUAAAGUAUAAUUGCAUCUU
Long non-coding RNA from Mercenaria mercenaria, 1396 nucleotides. RefSeq lists it as uncharacterized. The transcript is spliced from 2 exons. NCBI's taxonomy places the organism in Eukaryota, Metazoa, Mollusca, Bivalvia, Venerida, Veneridae. The record is from RefSeq and is a predicted model, not a curated record.